RNAcentral lists this ribosomal RNA (354 nucleotides) under uncultured bacterium. RNAcentral's name for it is "bacterial SSU rRNA". It matches the Rfam family "Bacterial small subunit ribosomal RNA", at positions 47 to 390 of the family's 1533-position model. The record is from RNAcentral.
GACCGCCGAAGACAUCCAAGUGGGUCAAUAAGGUAUCUUCGGAGAUCAUCAUUUUCGGAUGGGUGAGUAACGCGGGGGUAAUCUCCCUUACACUGGGGGAUCACAUCUGGAACCCCGUUCGGAUACCGCAUAGGUGCUAGAAUAUGACGUUUAGCAUGAAAGAUUUGUUGGGGUAAGAAGAGCGUGCGUAUGAUUAGCUAGUGGUCGGACAAGGGCCUACCAUGGCGAUGACCGUUAGUUGGUUUAAGAGAAUGGCCANCCCCANUGGGNCUGAGCCACGGCCCGCACUCCUACGGGAGGCACCAGUGGGAAAUUUUGCNCNAUGGAAGAAACCCUGAGGCACAACUGCCGCGU